This is a long non-coding RNA of Numida meleagris (helmeted guineafowl), 1620 nucleotides long. NCBI's taxonomy places the organism in Eukaryota, Metazoa, Chordata, Aves, Galliformes, Numididae. The record is from Ensembl.
AUGCCACCAAUCACAGCACAGCACACCCGCUUCCCACCAAUCACGGCAGAGAGGCUGGAGUCCCCCACCAAUCCCAGCACAGCACACCUGCCUCCCACCAACGACGGGGGGGGGACAGGGCUCCCAGCGGUCACCAGAAGGAUGCCACCAACGCCACCGGCCCCACACGGUGCCCAGUACCUGCGGGGGGGUCCGGAGGGGCCUGCAGGGCAUACAGGGGCGCCCCUUGCCCGGCCGUGCUCAGCUCCUCGGAGUCAUCCAGCGAGCGCAGGGAGCCCUGCGGGGACACCUCGGCCAGGAUCACCUGGGGGGGUGGCACACGGCACACGGCGCUGGAUGUGGCACACGGCACGGCGCACAGCACACGGCAUGGCACACAGCACACGGCAUGGCACACGGUGCAAAUACAUGGCACACAGCACAUGGUGCAGCACGGCAUGGGAGGGCACACGGCACAACGUUCGGUGCACGGUGCAGCACACAGCACAACACACGGUGCAGCGCAAGGCACAUAGCGUGGCACAGCACGGCACAUGGCACAGCACGGCACAUGGCACAUGCUGUGGCAGCAGCUCUGGGGGCCACCCCAUUACCUGCUGGGGGGGCACGUCCCCCUCCCGUGCCACCAUCUCGCGCAGCUCCGCAGCCGUGCCCAGCAGCGGCACCGCCAGCCCCACGCGCAGCGAGCGCCCGCCCUCGCGCUGCAGCACCAGCGUCACGUUCAGUGCCCUGGGGACACCACGGCGGGGAUGUCACGCGUGCCCCGGGCGCAGCGGUGCCAGCACGUGUCCCGCCUUGCCAGGCACCGCCAUCUCCCGCACGCCCAGUUGUCCCCAGAUGGCACAAAUGGCCGUUUCUGGAGCGGGAUGCCCCGAGCAGCACCGACCGUCCCCUCGCCAUGCGCUCACCUGGUCUGGCGCACGGGGAUGGGCAGCGAGAUGCACAGGAAUGGGUCGAAGGUGUUGCUCUGCUUCCGGCAGUGCGGGCACGUCAGGGAGGACCUGCACGCACGGGCACAUCAAUGGCAUGUCUCUGAGCACCCGUGCGGGGUGUGGGCAUCGGGACAUGUACCCAGGGGCUGGGCGGCCACAAGGCACAGCCACAUCCCACACUAUGCGCAGGCACGAGGCACAGCCGGCAGCUGUUCACUGUGAGCCCUAUGGAGCAGCACUGCAGGGACGCAGCUCGGUACCGUGUCACCCACAGCAAAGCCGGGCACGGCUCAGCCCCCUCCCGACACCACAGGGCUGGAUCCUGCCCACGGAGCUCACCUGUACUGCGCCUGGAAGUGGCUCUGCACAAAGCUCUCCCCACCAGCACCGCUCUGCUCUGCACCGCGCUGCAGGGACACGGGACAAACGGGGUGAGCCCCACACCAGUAUGACCCCCUCCUUCCUCAGGCACUGCUGUGGGGUUCCCAUGGGCUGCACGGCACGGGGACCCCCACCCAAUCCCACUGUUCUCAGUCUCCCAUCCUGUGAAAUGGGUGCACUUGGGCCAAAGGUACCCAGCGCACACCAGUGCUGGGAUGGGGAACACCAGGAGGUGCUGCUGGAGAAGGACCAGGAUGGUUUUGGGAGCAGAAGAGAAGUUUUUUGGCGUUGCAGUGAACAAGCCUGA